UGACACCUUCUGGACAGAGAUCGGUACUACACUUAGCGUUCGUGUCCUUGUUUGAUGACAUCAAUAGUGUGAGUCUAGCAGUAAUACCGAAGAGCACAUUGUCAUGGCUGAUAUCGAUGCCUGAUUUAAGUUGAUUUGAAGGCACAUUCAUUUUACGUCAUUCCAUAAGCAACAGUAAAAGCUAGAUAUUACUUCCUGAGUCUGUUGUCUUUUGGGAAACUUCAUCUGACUGCCGAGUCAAGCAAGGCGUUUGAUGCAGAACAAUGGGAUAAUAAAGAUAUAUUGCAUGUUACAUGCAUGUGUAUGGCAGACAGAUUAAACUGAACAGGAGGCUGACCUGAUUUCCCCCAACUGGUGUUUCACUCCCCAAGAAAGCGCAACAGCAGUGAAUUUGUUUGUGUUAAGACACUUUCUGCAGACAAACUGGUAGACAUAAUAUCGCAUCCAUCAGAUACGGAAACAACUGAGUCAACUGAAGUAACAGCAGCUGGUCCGCAAAGAGAAAGUUCAAUAGCAUCAAGUCUGCAGCAAGAUUUACCAUGUAGAUUGUAUUUUUUCACUGGGGUUGGCGACAAAACAAGGAUUAUUAACUUAUCUAAGGUGUCAUUAGCCCUUGGCACCAGUGUAUGUCGGCACUCAUUGGUACCCAGAACUUCUCUGACUGUGACUCUACAAGUGCCUUCUAUGGCAAAUGAAAAAAAAGUAAUUUUCUUUUGCUUGUGGGAAAGAGAAAUACCUGACUGCAUUUAGAAAACUGGGUAGCAGUUUUAACUUGGAGCAGCCUACCUUUGAAGUACUUUGCAAAUAUGUGUGUCACCUGUAUGAGCAGCCAUGUGGCAAAAGUGAGAACGAUGUAAGAUGCAAGCAUUCUGCAUGGCAUUGUCAGCUUUGCAAGAACGAUCCAUGCUUCCAACAAGUGAUGCCCUGUACCAACACUACCAAGCAGCCAUAAGCAUGAGACAUUCUCUUAAAAGGUAUAAUGUGUGCCCCUUCACCUGUUGGAAAUGGAUGGCACAUCGAGGAUGGGGAGUUCACAGUGACCUGGAUGACUAGAAAUCUGGCCCCCGAGAGUGUGUUGCAGGACGUCCACUACAGUUGCAAACAAAGCAAAUGUGAGACUGGAAGAUGUUCUUGUAUGUCUGCAAAAUUGUCUUGUACAGAUCUAUGUUUCCCCAGAAACAGAGUUAUGGGGAUGUUAGUGAUGAGGAAUGUUGAGCUGGGUCAUAUUUCAGGUUUAUUGGAGCAGUAAUGAAUCUGCUGUAAAAUUGUACAAUUUUGGCAUUUUUGAAAAAUCAGGGCAGCAGAGAAGAAUUUUGA
Molecule: long non-coding RNA, 1317 nt
Organism: Clarias gariepinus (North African catfish)
Lineage: Eukaryota; Metazoa; Chordata; Actinopteri; Siluriformes; Clariidae
Exons: 3
Source: RefSeq, a predicted model, not a curated record